GCCAGUUUUCGCCCUGUUGUUGAGGAAGGAAGAGUUUUUGGAUGGAUUGAUGAAUCCUUGGGCUGGCCUGCUUCAUGUCCUUCACACAGGAGCUGCUCCAAGACUGGUCCCUACCCGCCACCUCCAGUGUUGAAGACAUCCUUGAGUGGGUAACUGAAUGAGCCUGGCAGGGCGCCCUCUGCGAUCACUCCCCCGACGAGGAACGUAUGCAGGCCUUCACCAACCAAAAGGUCAUUGGAUUCUUCAUGGGAAGAGGAUAUCAGCCCCUGAGAACUGUUGACCCUUCCCCGAAAGAAUACAGCCUCCCCACACAAAACCAAUACCUGCCACCUAAUUGUUUUACCCGCCAACAUAAAGCUUUUAUUUUUUCAUAUCUUUGCCUGUCCAGCAGGAAGUAGCUUCAGAAGAGUGAGACCUCCACCCCUUUUCCCUUCUCCCUAUACUUAAAAGGCAGGAAUGAUAGGUUCUGGAUGUGACUGGCGCCAUCUUGGAUGUGACUGGUGCCAUUUUACACACACUCAGCACAAAACGGCCACCAGCCUUUCCCUUACAAGAAACCUCGUGGUUUCUGAGAAAUAGAAACUCCUGCACACCAGCACCAAACCCCUCUCUGAUUACGUCAGCCUUCCUUACAGUCUAUAUAAGCUCUCCCACCCCUACACCUCGUG
This is a long non-coding RNA of Cynocephalus volans (Philippine flying lemur), 668 nucleotides long. RefSeq lists it as uncharacterized. The transcript is spliced from 3 exons. The record is from RefSeq and is a predicted model, not a curated record. NCBI's taxonomy places the organism in Eukaryota, Metazoa, Chordata, Mammalia, Dermoptera, Cynocephalidae.